This 7147-nucleotide long non-coding RNA is filed under the name Sus scrofa (pig). RNAcentral describes it as "lncRNA (ENSSSCG00040000635.1)". The record is from RNAcentral. Lineage: Eukaryota; Metazoa; Chordata; Mammalia; Artiodactyla; Suidae.
CAGAGGUUACCUAUCCAAUCAAAGUUAAUAUUACAUUGGAAACUAAGUAUUGCAGAGGAGGUAACAUCACAGGAUGAUUCUUCAUCAAAAUAAUUUCACAGAAACUAGUCCCAUACCUUGAUUAAACAGGAGAAUAGCUAUUAAACUAUUUUAUUAACACCAGCAAAAGCUGAUUCAAGGUCAGCAGGGACAAACAAACACUCCUCCAGGAAAAAAAGUGAAAACUAUUGUUUCAAAGAACAAGAACUGUGCUUUGAUAAGAGAAGACAUUCUUUCAUUAACAUACAUGGUCAUGUCUUCGAUGAAAAAUAAAUAAAUAAUUUUUCUUGUUAAGGCCACAUCCAUGGCAUUUUGAAGUUCCUAGGCUAGGGGUCAAAUCUGAACUGCAGCUGCUGGCCUCCACCACAGCCACAACAACAUGGGAUCCGAACCACAUCUAUGACCUAGGGCACAGCUUAAGGCAACACUGGAUCCCCAAUCCAAUGAGCAGGGCCAGGGAUCGAAUCUGCAUCCUCAAGAUAUUGGACAGAAGUCCAUGCUUCUUUAUCCUGCUCCCACUUUGGAGAACAGCAAGUAGUAAUGGCCUCUUGGCUAAAGCCCAGGAUACUGCAAAAGGGGAGAGACUGCUAUGAAAGAAAUGAUGAUUUCUCAAGGAAAUUGUUAGCAUUAUCAGAGUGAGGGACUGAAAAAGGGUAUGUGGAGUAUAUAUAUAAAUCCCAUGGCCGGAGAGCCUGGUUGGAAAUGAAGGCAACUCACAUGCAAAGCCAUCUCCCUGCAAAGACCUAAGGCUUAGGGAGCUUUCCUCUCAGAUAGAAAAUUGAGUUGAUUUUAUCUGUUAUCUUUUUUUCUACAAUAUUAUAACAUACCUCUGAAAUUACCCUAGCCUUUCAGUAAAUAAUUUUGCAUGUCCUUAUAAACUCUAGCCAGUGAGACCUUGAGAUUGAAAUAAGUUGUAGGAAGAAACAGGGAAAAUACUAUUAAGAGUAAAAGGGGAUUGUACCUCUCAGAUGGCCCAGAGUUGACAGGCAUUAGUUAGUAAGGACCCUGGACCCUGCAGUCUUGUUCUGCAGGGAACAGCAUGAAAUUAUUCCCAUGUCUGGUGAAGGCAGCUUUUGCAAGAGGGCCUCACUGACCUCUAGGCUACAUCUGCAAGACUUAAAAUCCAGCUUUGAAAGGGCAUUGUGUAAUUGCUAUUGCUAUAAUCCUUUAUGUCUGUUUGCUAUUGCAUUCAUUUCUAUUAAUAUUGUACUUGCAAAACGGUGAGACCCAAAAAUGAUGGGAAACAAAUGCCCGUUCUUCCAACAGAAAAUACUUUAUAGACCCAUUUGCCCUUGGCUGAGAAGAAAGUGGCUUUCAGAAAGAGUUCUCGAUUCUCUAUUUUGUUUAAUUGCUUCAUGUUAACUGCAAUGUAUGCACAUGUCUGUGGGCUUGUAUGUUUUACAAAACUAGGAUGAAUCAGUGAAGGAAAUAAUCAAGAAAAACACAAAAAGGAGCUACCAUUUCAUGUCUCUUGUUAGAUGAAUUCAAUGUUUCAACCAUACAGUCCUAUCUCAAACUGGAGUACGUAAAAAAAAAAUUUUUUUUAAGGCUCAGAAAUUUUAGAUAAUAUGCUCAAAUCCAUGUAACCAUAUAGGGAAGGUCUCAGAUUGAAACUGAGGUCUGAGUCCAAACUCUGUGCUAGUUCUACUACUGCUUGAAUGUGUAUUGGAAACUGUGGACAUAAAAUAUCCCAUGAAGGUAGGCUCUCAUGAAUUUAUCUUCAGACAGAUUUUCAGGAAACAGAGAAGAGAGGUUUGGAGCUAGCUUGGGGCGUAAAAUGAUUUCUGACAGAUGUAUAUAUACAGCUAUCCCAGCCUCCCUCCUGACUAGGGCAUGUUUGAACUCCACAGCAAAUACCUUUAACAAAAGCAUUCCAGAUCCUGGCAAGCUCUUCCCUCAAGCAAACCAAUCCUUACUAAAAGAACUGCAGGGGCUGGUCUCACCUAGGAGAGACCAAGUCAUCAGAUUCUAGAGCCUGAGACAGGUAUGAGAGUGUCUAGAGCAGUUCUGUCCCCACAUCUUUUCAUGAGGCAUGGAAGGUGUCACACAACUCUUACAGUUAAGAAUAUUUAAUGACCAUCCACCAGCAUUCUGGGGAUUAUUAACAUGCAAAUCAUUGUUCACAUGUUCCCAUCAACAGCCAAUUGGCAAAAACCAGAUGUGAUGGGAAACCAGAAGACAACAAACAAGGUUUCUAAAUAAAAGACUUGGGGGAGGUUGGGAUCUGCAUGUGCAGGGUGAAGGGCAGUUCCCAGGGAGAAGCCAGCAGUGCACCAUUGUGUUCUCAUUUUUCCAGUACGCAACUUCAGAGGUCAGCGGAACACUGCCCAUUAUUCCUGGGAUCUCUGCUCUAUUCACCGCGGACUUUCCACAGGCUGAGCCCAGAGAUCAGGGAGGUUAUUCAGGAGAAGUGAUGGUUAACAGCCAAGGCUCCACGCCAGUCUGGAAAGCAGUUCAGGAGAGAUUUUCUCCAAUAGUUCCACAAAGAAAUUAUGGAUCCCUAGUGUAUCAUAUUCUCAAAAAGAAUCAGUGUAGGGAUUAUGAAAUGUGCAUGCCAUGAAAUGCUUCACCUGCUCACAUGACUCUACUUGAGUGGUUAGUAUGUGCCAGGCAUUCUGCUAGGUGCUUCUUGUGCUAUAUAAUACCUAAACUUCACAGAAAAAAGAAAAAAAAAAACCCUCAAGAGGCUCUUAUUAUUCUCGUUUUAACAAUAAGGAAACUAUAUCUCAGAAUGGUUAAGAAUCAGCAAAAAGAACUAGUUAGUGGUGUGACUGGGUUUUUAACGCAGGUUAGUUUGAUUCCAAAGCCAGUAUAUGUCCCAUUAACAGAACAGCUUCUUGCUAGUGGGGAACUGCAGGGGACUGUGGAGUUGCUGGAAUUAUCUUCAAGUUUUGUAUUAAAAACCUUUAAGCCAAAGAAAUUAAUCUGUAGUUGUGCAGUUUCAAGCAGCAGUGACCAGAGAGUAUUUCAAAACUAGUAAGGGAUAUUCUUAAUAACCCUAAGAAUGAAGCUAGCCAGGUCUGGGGGCUGAAUCUCCUGGUGUAUAUUAGCUACACCCAGAAGAUAGUAAGUUUUGGGCCAAGUGUUUGCACAUAGAGAAACACACACACACAUAUAUGUAUGUAUGUACAUUUUUUCUUUCAAAAGCCUAUUCCCACUCCUCUCUUAAAGGAGAGUGGCUGGCUCUCACCCCAGGGAAAUUUUGAGCCUCCUCCACAUGGUUGCAUUGGGCUUCCCCUAAUUGAGCCAUCCUCCCACCCCACCUGUUUCCUCUCAGCAAUCAGUGGAGUCCAUGGUUCUGACCUCAGGGGAUCCGACCACUCCAUAUCCCCAUCUUGGAUGAAAGGACAUUCUGAGCACCUGUCCUUUUCUCCUUUGUGUUGCCGGUGUCACAGAAGGAUUAGAAGUCCUUGCAGAGGUGAACGGACUUAUUGUCCUUAUGUUCAAGCCAUACCAGAUAUCCAAGCACCAAACAUGCCUCACAGUUCAAUUCCUCAGCCUCUGUAUACAGGGUUUCUUUCCAGUUGGUGCCCAAAGUCUCUGCCUCCAUCAAAUGAAAAGCAAAUAUUCAUUUUCUUUUUAAGCAUCAAACCAUCCAUUUUCUACUGCUCAAUUAGAGAACUAGGCUGAGAGCUGUGACCCAAGCCAAGUCUUUGGGAUCCGCAAUGGGGCAGAUUUAAAAAACACAAAACAAAAAAAAAAAACAAAAAACUCAGAAGACUGCCAUCAAACUGGAUGACAAAAUGCAGAAAACACUUUUCUAUCUACUAUUACACUCUGUGGUAGGGAAAAAUAGGGUGAUUUAAUUUGGCGAUUGAAUUUUCUCUGAUAACCAGGGACUGGGGAUCAUUUUCCAGCUGGCUUCAUGAAUGUGUAUCAUACCUAGAAAUGUGGCAGCUUGAGGUCUGCUCAUUAAUUUAUAUAUAAGUUUUUACUGGGAAAUUUAUUACUCUGACCUAUUGCUUUAUGGCCUUAACAUUUUUAGGAAUCAUAUCUGGAAAAAAUGUUUAAGUGUUAUAAUAUGGGUGAAUAUUACACAAAACACCAGGCUCAAAAGUUUAAAAUAACAACAGCUAACAAUUAUUUAGCACUUACUACAUGCCAGACACUGUUGUAUGCACUUCAAAGAGGUAUUUAUAUAUGCCUCCCAACAACCUAAUGGGCGGGUGCUGUAAUUAUCCCCAUGCUGUAGAUUAGGAAGCUGAGGCACACAGAGGUUAAAUGUGUGGCCUAAGGUCAUGGCCAGUUGGGAUUCUAAGCCUGGCAUCCAAGCCUUAGAGUUCUUGUUCUUAAUGUUACAUACUUCACAACUUCAAUUUUUAGAUCCUCCAACAUUAAACUACAAUUAGUUUUGUUUCUGCAAACAUGUCACAGAGCCUAAUGAUACCCAAGUAAGUAUUAGCAACAAGGAGGGCAGACUGAAUAAGGUUUGUUCAUGCAUUCACUCUGUACUUCAGUAAAUAUUACCCAUUGGCAGUUCCAGGCCAGGUAUACAAGAGGCAAAAACAAGAAAACACAGUUUUGGUUCCAAGAAACUCAACUAAGUGGUGGAACUUCAAGAAGCCGAAAAUUAAUAACCAAUCACCGAUUUCCACUUCCUCUCUUCUUGUCGCCUACCUCCAACCCCAUUUGACUCUAACAUGUAAGACCAUGGGGACUGGGGCGGUGGGAGGGGGGAGACUUCAUAGAAAAAGAACCCAAUUACUAUUACCGUACCAACUUUAAUGCAAAUUCUGAUCCAAACACACAUUUAUUGACAGGUUGGUCUCAUUUAUACUGGAUUUGCACUCAGUAUUCUAUUCAUAGGAACUUGCAAGAGAAGCAUUGUUAGCUAUCAUUUUUCAGAGAAGGAAGCUCAAGUGAGUUGGAUGGCUUACCAAGGUUACAAGAGGUCACAGAUCCAGAAUUCACCUAAAGGUAAAAUCCCAACUCUUUCUACCAGGCUGCCAUGUCUCCUCUCACAUGUCCAUAUAUGUCCAGUCCCUUUUCCUGACUAUGGUUUUGGCUUUGAACACCUGCUUCCUUCCCUUCCUUGGUAAGACUGAACAAACUCCUGUGGUAUAGUGUAUGUAACAUUGAAAUCAACUGACCUGGAAGGAAAAUGGCAAAACUCCUUUGCCAGCCUGAAACAGCAGCACCCUCUUCUCUCAUCUGAAGCCCACUCUGGCCCUCUUUGAGAUUUCCAAAGCCAAAUGCACCUCCCCAACAGUGGGUAGCCUCAGCAAGACCUGAGUCUAUGUGGGAAGUACGUGUUUCUGUGUGUGUGAGAAGAGGGAUUAACCCUUCUGCCUUCAGCAUGGGGUUUGAUUUCAUAUCCUCUCACCUCUUGAACCCCAGACCACCACACAACACAAGCUGGCUCCCCAAGCACCCUGUCCUCCUUCACAGAUUGGACUUGUAGCCACCAGCUGCCUCUCUGAGGGGCCGGGGACAGUGAAGACCGUGAGGGCCAGCCCACCACACCUCUUCCCUUCUCAAGUUGAAUAAUGGAGGCUGGCUUUCCUUUGGGGGCUGCUCACUGUGAAUUUCCAAGUCAUUCCCAAUUUCAACAGCUUUUAUCCAACCCUGGAAUGCACUCAGAAAACAUUAGACUUGUUCAAAUUUCCCACUUAAAUAUGGAAUGAUUGGACUAUAAUCUUCUUUGGCAUAAAAUUCUGUCCUUCGACUACAUUCUUAAUAGCAAUUAGUCUAAUAAUAAAACUGGGAGCAUUAGAGUCUGAGGAUCCAAAAUGAAUGACUGCCUUUAAGAAGGAGAAAGGGAGAGGUCAGUCAUUGCAGAAAGAGUGAGAAAUGGCUCUUGUCCACUGUGUCUUGAACUUGAAUCUUGAACAAUUAAUUCUGCUUUUCACCAUGUUCUGAGUCUCCCUCUGCACGUUUCAGAGAUGUACUGAUUCAGCUUUGUGAAUUUUUGCUUUUACAUACACACUCCCUCAUUCCUCUCAAAGAAAACGUAAUUAUUAGUCCUAACAAUACCUAAGUGCUUGUGAUCAUUGUAGUUACUUCAAAUACAUCACGUAAUCUCAAUAAAUCUGCAGAAUGACAUAAUUAUCCCCAUGUUAAAAAUGAAGACUCUGCACCUCAGCAAUGUCAAAUAACCCACCCAUGUAACAAAUACAUGUACCCAAAGUAAGAGACAGGACUGGUGAUUUAACUAGAAGCCUAUGCUUCUGAACACCUCGGUGUUUCACUGGUCCAGCUGCCAAACAGGACAACUUACUCAAAGUGGCAAGUACAGUGGAAAAGUACAAAGGAAUUGACAGAGGCUGAGCAACUACUAUGUACCUGAUAUUGUCUUUAACAUUUGAUGGGCUUCCAAUAAUGUGAGCUUGCCUGUAUCCGGGUGGCAGCUGCCCCUAAAGCGUUUGUGAUAUGCUAGGCAGGGGAAGAUGCAGGGUUCAGACCAGGUCUGCCUGACUCUCAAGUUAGUGUCCCGUGAUGAAGGAAGUUGUGAUUAGUUUCCAAGCUGACUUUAGGCUGAGAGAGCUGAUAGGUGGAAGGCUCUCUCUUCUCCCACAUUUGUUCCACAUUGACCUCAGAGAGACAGGCUUUACCAUGCUGUUUCUAUGACAAGUGACUAAAUUAUCAUUUUUUGAGAGUAUGCAACUCCUCGUAUAUUGUCAGAAGCUAAAAUGAGCUCAAAUAAAUACUGAUGGAUAACGAAUAAACAUGUAUUUCUGCAAGUCUUGGCAUGUAGUUUUCAUUAAGUGGGUCCCUUGAUGACCUGUAUCAAAUUCAUCUCAUAUACCUAUAUAAAAAUCCAUUCAACAACACAUCUCAGACCUCAUGAGUCACAGUCUCUGAAAUGAAUCUUACCAAUGUCUGCAUUUUAGGAGGUGAUGAUUCCAAAGUAUAUGAAAUUUGUAACCUAUGCCAUGGAACAAGUUAGCUUAGCAAACAUAUUUCCUCUGGGAAGCAGGAGGCGGAAGUAAGCCUAGGGACUCCCCACCAGGGACUGGGCUUACAAAGGGGUUAAGGAGAGCAGUAAGGGGACCUUCUAUGUCAACGUCUAACCUGAUCAGAUGUGCAAACUCUCAAACAUUUUCACUCCAAUAUACUCUUUCUCAGUAACUUACUAGAGGGUGUUUUCCAUUGAAACAAGAAUAAACCA